This 253-nucleotide ribosomal RNA is filed under the name uncultured bacterium. Its description in RNAcentral is "partial 16S ribosomal RNA". It matches the Rfam family "Bacterial small subunit ribosomal RNA", at positions 524 to 776 of the family's 1533-position model. The record is from RNAcentral.
UACGUAGGGUGCAAGCGUUAAUCGGAAUUACUGGGCGUAAAGCGUGCGCAGGCGGUUGGGCAAGACCGAGGUGAAAUCCCCGAGCUUAACUUGGGAACUGCCUUUGUGACUGCACGGCUAGAGUGUGUCAGAGGGGGGUAGAAUUCCACGUGUAGCAGUGAAAUGCGUAGGGAUGUGGAGGAAUACCGAUGGCGAAGGCAGCCCCCUGGGAUAACACUGACGCUCAUGCACGAAAGUGUGGGGAGCAAACAGG